UACGUAGGUGGCAAGCGUUGUCCGGAUUUAUUGGGUUUAAAGGGUGCGUAGGCGGCUUUGUAAGUCAGUGGUGAAAUACUCCAGCUUAACUGGAGGGGUGCCAUUGAUACUGCGGAGCUUGAGUACAGAUGAGGUAGGCGGAAUUGACGGUGUAGCGGUGAAAUGCAUAGAUAUCGUCAAGAACACCGAUAGCGAAAGGCAGCUUACUGGGCUGUAACUGACGCUGAUGCACGAAAGUGUGGGGAUCAAACAGG
RNAcentral lists this ribosomal RNA (254 nucleotides) under uncultured bacterium. RNAcentral's name for it is "partial 16S ribosomal RNA". It matches the Rfam family "Bacterial small subunit ribosomal RNA", at positions 524 to 776 of the family's 1533-position model. The record is from RNAcentral.